This 253-nucleotide ribosomal RNA is filed under the name uncultured bacterium. Its description in RNAcentral is "partial 16S ribosomal RNA". It matches the Rfam family "Bacterial small subunit ribosomal RNA", at positions 524 to 776 of the family's 1533-position model. The record is from RNAcentral.
UACAGAGGUCUCAAGCGUUGUUCGGAUUCAUUGGGCGUAAAGGGUGUGUAGGUGGCGCCGUAAGUCGGGUGUGAAAUUUCGGAGCUUAACUCCGAAACUGCAUUCGAUACUGGCGUGCUUGAGGACUGGAGAGGAGACUGGAAUUUACGGUGUAGCAGUGAAAUGCGUAGAUAUCGUAAGGAAGACCAGUGGCGAAGGCGGGUCUCUGGACAGUUCCUGACACUGAGACACGAAGGCCAGGGGAGCAAACGGG